Molecule: ribosomal RNA, 510 nt
Filed under: uncultured bacterium
Lineage: Bacteria
Description: bacterial SSU rRNA
Rfam family: Bacterial small subunit ribosomal RNA
Source: RNAcentral
GAUGAACGCUAGCGGCAGGCCUAAUACAUGCAAGUCGAACGGUAAGGCCCUUUCGGGGGUACACGAGUGGCGGACGGGUGCGUAACGCGUAUGCAACAUGCCUUCCAGCGGGGGAUAUACCAGGGAAACUUGGCGCAAUACCCCAUAGAAUUACGGGACCGCAUGGUCUUGUGAUUAAAACUCCGGUGCUGGGAGAUUGGCAUGCGUGACAUUAGCUAGUUGGCGGGGUAAUGGCCCACCAAGGCUUCGAUCGGUAGCCGGCCUGAGAGGGCGGACGGCCACACUGGAACUGAGACACGGUCCAGACUCCUACGGGAGGCAGCAGUGGGGAAUUUUUCGCAAUGGGCGCAAGCCUGACGAAGCAACGCCGCGUGGAGGAUGAAGGUCUUCGGAUUGUAAACUCCUGUCGACCGGGACGGAAUGCACUCGACCUAAUACGUCGGAAUGUUGACGGUACCGGUGGAGGAAGCCACGGCUAACUCUGUGCCAGCAGCCGCGGUAAUGUGUGAC